Drosophila pseudoobscura is the source of this 590-nucleotide long non-coding RNA. RefSeq lists it as uncharacterized. Lineage: Eukaryota; Metazoa; Arthropoda; Insecta; Diptera; Drosophilidae. The transcript has 3 exons. The record is from RefSeq and is a predicted model, not a curated record.
GGGCCCCCGUCAUGUCGACCACCUGCUUCAGAGCCUUUGAAAGCUGCAGCGAGCAUUCGUCCGGUGCCUGUUGGUGGAUAAUCUGAUGUGCAGGCUCAGCAGCAGCAACCAUAGCCAACGCAACAGGCGGCACAGCCAUUAGCUGAACAACAGCAGCCCCGAAUCUCGGCCAAGAUUGCAAGUCCUUUGAACCAGCCCGAAGUGGAGGCAGGAGAAGAACUGUUAUCAUUUAUUCACUCCGCCUCUCAUGGCAAUGACAAACAGCAGCAGCAUCUGACUACCCCGCUGUCGGCUCGCAGUCACUUCCCAUGGUAGGACGAGUCCCAGGCAGAGGCAGAGGCACAGGCUCAGGCACAUGUGAGCUCCCCAUCCCCAUCUGAGAUGCAACAGCAUGAGCAAGAAACGCUACAACAGCAGACGCCGUUUGAAGCGGAUCUCCAGGAGAGCGUAAACGCUUUAAUGGAAGAAGAGGAGCAGCCUCUAGCUCCGCUCUCACCGCUGUCGGAGGCAGAAGAGGAGCAGGGCAAGGGUAGGAUAACAAAUCCAAGAAUUGUGGACGUGCUAAUUGUAUCUGUGCUUAAUUAUUAUUU